Molecule: ribosomal RNA, 465 nt
Filed under: uncultured bacterium
Lineage: Bacteria
Description: bacterial SSU rRNA
Rfam family: Bacterial small subunit ribosomal RNA
Source: RNAcentral
CCUACGGGAUGCAGCAGUGGGGAAUAUUGCACAAUGGGCGCAAGCCUGAUGCAGCCAUGCCGCGUGUAUGAAGAAGGCCCUAGGGUUGUAAAGUACUUUCAGUCGGGAGGAAAGCGUUGAUGCUAAUAUCAUCAACGAUUGACGUUACCGACAGAAGAAGCACCGGCUAACUCCGUGCCAGCAGCCGCGGUAAUACGGAGGGUGCAAGCGUUAAUCGGAAUUACUGGGCGUAAAGCGCACGCAGGCGGUUGACUAAGUUAGAUGUGAAAUCCCCGGGUUUAACCUGGGAAUGGCAUCUAAGACUGGUCAGCUAGAGUCUUGUAGAGGGGGGUGGAAUUCCAUGUGUAGCGGUGAGAUGCGUAGAGAUGUGGAGGAAUACCGGUGGCGAAGGCGGCCCCCUGGACAAAGACUGACGCUCUGGUGCGAAAGCGUGGGGAGCAAACAGGAUUAGAUACCCGUGUAGUC